Molecule: long non-coding RNA, 455 nt
Filed under: Androctonus crassicauda
Lineage: Eukaryota; Metazoa; Arthropoda; Arachnida; Scorpiones; Buthidae
Source: RNAcentral
AUGAAAUAUAUAAAAAAUACAGAGAAAACGGAAAGAGAAAGAAAUUCUUUCAUUAUGGAGAUUAAUUUAGUGAUGAUUAAAAAUAUCUCAAUUUGCCGGGAUUCCACGUCUCAAGAUCACAGUUGUUUCUACAGUGCUCUAGACGAAAGCUGGUUCGCAAUGACGUCACGCAUAAACAAACAUGGCCGAUGUAGCUGCGCGUUGGCAUACCGUGUUGUUUCUACCGUGGUAGCAUGAGUAUGAUGCCAAUUUGACAAAUGAAAACAUUUUUCAUGAAAACAAUACACCAGACGCUAUUCGCAAAAAUUUAAUGAAAACUUAACUGUUUCCAUUACAGACUCUCAGAAUCCGACAGGAAUUAUUUUACAAUUGAAUAGUUGUUUUUCCUCUAUAUAAAUAUCGAAAAUUAUACUGUAGUAUGGCUAUCAAAACAUUUAACUUUUCAUCAAUUUCAG